AGAAUCAACGCUGGCGGCGUGCCUAACACAUGCAAGUCGAACGAGAAAGUGGAGCAAUCCAUGAGUAAAGUGGCGCACGGGUGAGUAACACGUGACUAACCUACCUUUUAGUGGGGGGAUAACCUAGGGAAACCUGGGCUAAUACCGCAUAAUACCUACGGGUCAAAGCAGCAAUGCGCUGAAAGAGGGGGUCGCGGUCGAUUAGUUAGUUGGCAGGGUAAUGGCCUACCAAGACUGUGAUCGAUAUCCGGCCUGAGAGGGCGCACGGACACACUGGAACUGAAACACGGUCCAGACUCCUACGGGAGGCAGCAGUGGGGAAUUUUGCGCAAUGGGGGAAACCCUGACGCAGCAACGCCGCGUGGAGGAUGAAGUCCCUUGGGACGUAAACUCCUUUCGAUCGGGACGAUAAUGACGGUACCGGAAGAAGAGCCCGGCUAACUUCGUGUCAGCAGCCGC
This 459-nucleotide ribosomal RNA is filed under the name uncultured bacterium. RNAcentral describes it as "SSU rRNA". It matches the Rfam family "Bacterial small subunit ribosomal RNA", at positions 26 to 518 of the family's 1533-position model. The record is from RNAcentral.